Molecule: ribosomal RNA, 258 nt
Filed under: uncultured bacterium
Lineage: Bacteria
Description: partial 16S ribosomal RNA
Rfam family: Bacterial small subunit ribosomal RNA
Source: RNAcentral
UACGAAGGGGGCUAGCGUUGUUCGGAGUUACUGGGCGUAAAGGGCGCGUAGGCGGCGCAUCAAGUCAGGCGUGAAAGCCCUGGGCUCAACCCGGGAAUUGCGCUUGAGACUGGUGUGCUUGAGUACGGGAGAGGAUAGUGGAAUUCCCAGUGAUUAGAGGUGAAAGUUCGUAAGAUAUUGGGAAGAACACCAGUGGCGAAGGCGGCUAUCUGGACCGUAACUGACGGCUGAGGCGCGAAAGCGUGGGGAGCAAACAGG